This 521-nucleotide ribosomal RNA is filed under the name uncultured bacterium. RNAcentral's name for it is "bacterial SSU rRNA". It matches the Rfam family "Bacterial small subunit ribosomal RNA", at positions 8 to 518 of the family's 1533-position model. The record is from RNAcentral.
AGAGUUGUCCUGGCUCAGGAUGAACGCUAGCUACAGGCUUAACACAUGCAAGUCGAGGGGCAGCAUUAUCGAAGCUUGCUUUGAUAGAUGGCGACCGGCGCACGGGCGAGUAACGCGUAUCCAACCUUCCCAUCACUCAGGGAUAGCCCGCCGAAAGGCGAAUUAAUACCUGAUGGUCUCCUUUGCAGACAUCUAACGAGGAGUAAAGAUUUCAUUGGUGAUGGAUGGGGAUGCGUCUGAUUAGGUAGUAGGCGGGGUAACGGCCCACCUAGCCAUCGAUCAGUAGGGGUUCUGAGAGGAAGGUCCCCCACAUUGGAACUGAGACACGGUCCAAACUCCUACGGGAGGCAGCAGUGAGGAAUAUUGGUCAAUGGACGGAAGUCUGAACCAGCCAAGUAGCCGUGCAGGAAGACGGCCCUAUGGGUUGUAAACUGCUUUUGUGCGGGAAUAAAGUAUGGGACGUGUCCCGUUUUGCAUGUACCGCACGAAUAAGGACCGGCUAAUUCCGUGCCAGCCGCAGC